RNAcentral lists this small RNA (2135 nucleotides) under Pongo abelii (Sumatran orangutan). RNAcentral describes it as "retained intron". Lineage: Eukaryota; Metazoa; Chordata; Mammalia; Primates; Hominidae. The record is from RNAcentral.
GAUGGCCGGGGCUCUUGAGCUAUAAGUGGCACCUCAGGGCCCUGUCGGUCGUCUCGCCAUGCUGCUCCUGGGCCUGCUGCUGCUGCUGCCCCUGCUGGCUGGCGCCCGCCUGCUGUGGAACUGGUGGAAGCUCCGGAGCCUCCACCUCCCGCCUCUUGCCCCGGGCUUCUUGCACCUGCUGCAGCCCGACCUCCCCAUCUAUCUGCUCGGCCUGACUCAGAAAUUCGGGCCCAUCUACAGGCUCCACCUUGGGCUUCAAGAUGUGGUGGUGCUGAACUCCAAAAGGACCAUUGAGGAAGCCAUGGUCAAAAAGUGGGCAGACUUUGCUGGCAGACCUGAGCCACUUACCUACAAGCUGGUGUCUAAGAACUACCCAGACCUGUCCUUGGGAGACUACUCCCUGCUCUGGAAAGCCCACAAGAAGCUCACCCGCUCAGCCCUGCUGCUGGGCAUCCGUGACUCCAUGGAGCCAGUGGUGGAGCAGCUGACCCAAGAGUUCUGCGAGCGCAUGAGAGCCCAGGCCGGCACCCCUGUGGCCAUUGAGGAGGAAUUCUCUCUCCUCACCUGUAGCAUCAUCUGUUACCUCACCUUCGGAGACAAGAUCAAGGAGGACAACUUAAUGCCUGCCUAUUACAAAUGUAUCCAGGAGGUGUUAAAAACCUGGAGCCACUGGUCCAUCCAAAUUGUGGAUGUGAUUCCCUUUCUCAGGUUCUUCCCCAAUCCAGGUCUCCGGAGGCUGAAGCAGGCCAUAGAGAGGAGGGACCACAUCGUGGAGAAGCAGCUGAGGCAGCACAAGGAGAGCCUGGUGGCAGGCCAGUGGAGGGACAUGAUGGACUACAUGCUCCAAGGGGUGGCGCAGCCGAGCGUGGAAGAGGGCUCUGGACAGCUCCUGGAAGGGCACGUGCACAUGGCUGCAGUGGACCUCCUGAUCGGUGGCACUGAGACCACGGCAAACACCCUCUCCUGGGCCGUGGUUUUUUUGCUUCACCACCCUGAGAUUCAGCAGCGACUGCAGGAGGAGCUAGACCACGAACUGGGCCCUGGUGCCUCCAGCUCCCGGGUCCCCUACAAGGACCGUGCACGGCUGCCCUUGCUCAAUGCCACCAUCGCCGAGGUGCUGCGCCUGCGGCCCGUUGUGCCCUUAGCCUUGCCCCACCGCACCACACGGCCCAGCAGGUGACUCCCGAGGGUUGGGGAUGAGUGAGGAAAGCCCGAGCCCAGGGAGGUCCUGGCCAGCCUCUAACUCCAGCCCCCUUCAGCAUCUCCGGCUACGACAUCCCUGAGGGCACAGUCAUCAUCCCAAACUUCAAGGCGCCCACCUGGAUGAGACGGUCUGGGAGAGGCCACAUGAGUUCUGGCCUGAUCGCUUCCUGGAGCCAGGCAAGAACUCCAGAGCUCUGGCCUUCGGCUGCGGGGCCCGUGUGUGCCUGGGCGAGCCGCUGGCGCGCCUGGAGCUCUUCGUGGUGCUGACCCGACUGCUGCAGGCCUUCACGCUGCUGCCCCCCGGGGACGCCCUGCCCUCCCUGCAGCCCCUGCCCCACUGCAGUGUCAUCCUCAAGAUGCAGCCUUUCCAAGUGCGGCUGCAGCCCCGGGGGAUGGGGGCCCACAGCCCGGGCCAGAGCCAGUGAUGGGGCAGGACCGAUGCCGGCCGGGUACCUCAGUUUCUCCUUUAUUGCUCCCGUACGAACCCCUCCCCUCCCCCCUGUAAACACAGUGCUGCGAGAUCGCUGGCAGAGAAGGCUUCCUCCAGAGGCUGGGUGGUGAAGGACCCUGGCUCUUCUCUCGGGGCGACCCCUCAGUGCUCGGCAGUCAUACUGGGGUGCGAGAGGUGGGCAGCAGCUCAGCCUCCCCUCCGCUGGGGAGCGAAAGUUUCUUGGUCUCAGCUUCAUUUCCGUGAAGGGCACCGAGAACUCGAAGCCCUUCCAGUAGUACCAGCUCACUCCCUGGGAAAGGGGUUGUCAAGAGAGAGUCAAAGCCGGAUGUCCCAUCUGCUCCUCCCGUUCCCCUUAAGGAGGUGGCUCCCAGCACUCAACCAACCUCCCCGCACAGCUCCCCUCCUGACCCUCCGCCACAGAGGAUUGAGGCUUAAUCCUGAGCUGGCCCUUUCCAGCCAAUAAAUCAUCUCCAGCUCCCUC